UACGGGGGGAGCAAGCGUUGUUCGGAUUUACUGGGCGUAAAGGGCGCGUAGGCGGCACCGCAAGUCGACUGUGAAAUCUCCGGGCUUAACUCGGAAAGGUCAGCCGAUACUGCGGGGCUAGAGUGCAGAAGGGGCAACUGGAAUCUCGGUGUAGCGGUGAAAUGCAUAGAUAUCGAGAGGAACACCUGCGGCGAAGGCGGUUUGCUGGGCUGACACUGACGCUGAUGCGCGAAAGCUAGGGAGCGAACGGG
This 251-nucleotide ribosomal RNA is filed under the name uncultured bacterium. Its description in RNAcentral is "partial 16S ribosomal RNA". It matches the Rfam family "Bacterial small subunit ribosomal RNA", at positions 524 to 776 of the family's 1533-position model. The record is from RNAcentral.